AGUGAACGCUGGCGGUAGGCCUAACACAUGCAAGUCGAACGGCAGCACAGUAAGAGCUUGCUCUUACGGGUGGCGAGUGGCGGACGUGUGAGGAAUACAUCGGAAUCUACUUUUUCGUGGGGGAUAACGUAGGGAAACUUACUCUAAUACCGCAUACGACCUUCGGUUGAAAGCAGGGGAUCUUCGUACCUUGCGCGAUUGAAUGAGCCGAUGUCGGAUUAGCUAGUUGGCGGGGUAAAGGCCCACCAAGGCGACGAUCCGUAGCUGGUCUGAGAGGAUGAUCAGCCACACUGGAACUGAGACACGGUCCAGACUCCUACGGGAGGCAGCAGUGGGGAAUAUUAGACAAUGGGCGCAAGCAUGGUCCAGCCAUACCGCGUGGGUGAAGAAGGCCUUCGGGUUGUAAAGCCCUUUUGUUGGGAAAGAAAAGCAGCAGGUUAAUACCCCGCUGUUCUGACGGUACCCAAAGAAUAAGCACCGGCUAACUUCGUG
This 492-nucleotide ribosomal RNA is filed under the name uncultured bacterium. Its description in RNAcentral is "partial 16S ribosomal RNA". It matches the Rfam family "Bacterial small subunit ribosomal RNA", at positions 29 to 507 of the family's 1533-position model. The record is from RNAcentral.